Molecule: ribosomal RNA, 253 nt
Filed under: uncultured bacterium
Lineage: Bacteria
Description: partial 16S ribosomal RNA
Rfam family: Bacterial small subunit ribosomal RNA
Source: RNAcentral
UACGGAGGGGGCUAGCGUUAUUCGGAAUUAUUGGGCGUAAAGGGCGCGUAGGCGGCCCGGUAAGUCAAAGGUGAAAUCCCUCGGCUCAACUGAGGAACUGCCUUUGAAACUGUCGGGCUUGAGGCCGGGAGGGGGUAGCGAAAUUCCCAGUGUAGCGGUGAAAUGCGUAGAUAUUGGGAGGAACACCGGUGGCGAAGGCGGCUACCUGGACCGGUUCUGACGCUGAUGCGCGAAAGCGUGGGGAGCAAACAGG